UAGGGAAUCUUCCACAAUGGACGCAAGUCUGAUGGAGCAACGCCGCGUGAGUGAAGAAGGCUUUUCGGGUCGUAAAACUCUGUUAUUGAAGAAGAACGUGCGUGACAGUAACUGGUCAUGCAGUGACGGUAUUCAAUCAGAAAGUCACGGCUAACUACGUGCCAGCAGCCGCGGUAAUACGUAGGUGGCAAGCGUUGUCCGGAUUUAUUGGGCGUAAAGCGAGUGCAGGCGGUCUUUUAAGUCUGAUGUGAAAGCCUUCGGCUUAACCGAAGAAGGGCAUCGGAAACUGGGAG
RNAcentral lists this ribosomal RNA (293 nucleotides) under uncultured bacterium. Its description in RNAcentral is "partial 16S ribosomal RNA". It matches the Rfam family "Bacterial small subunit ribosomal RNA", at positions 355 to 639 of the family's 1533-position model. The record is from RNAcentral.